RNAcentral lists this small RNA (730 nucleotides) under Pan troglodytes (chimpanzee). RNAcentral describes it as "processed transcript". Lineage: Eukaryota; Metazoa; Chordata; Mammalia; Primates; Hominidae. The record is from RNAcentral.
GGGCUGCGGGGGCGAGGGGGGAGGCCAAAAUGGCGCGUCUCUGCGAGUAACCGAGGAUGCGGAUUCAGCUGGGGCUCGCCGGCUGCUUGUCUGGAAACGGAGUGCAUGUGACCGCUGGGUGAGCGACCCGCGCUUGCAUCUGUGUAGGUUGAGUCAGCUCAUCAGCGAUGGCAGUGUGGUCUGCGCUGAAGCACUCUGGGACCAUGUCACCAUGGACGACCAGGAGCUGGGCUUCAAAGCUGGGGACGUCAUCGAAGUGAUGGAUGCCACCAACAGAGAGUGGUGGUGGGGCCGGGUCGCCGAUGGCGAGGGCUGGUUUCCAGCCAGCUUCGUUCGGCUGAGGGUGAAUCAGGACGAGCCCACGGAUGACGACGCCCCUCGGGCCGGGAACAGCGGAGCGGAGGACGGCGGGGCGGAGGCGCAGAGCAGCAAGGACCAGAUGCGGACCAACGUCAUCAACGAGAUCCUCAGCACUGAGCGGGACUACAUCAAGCACCUGCGCGACAUCUGCGAGGUGAGGCCCGGCCGGCGGGCGGUGACUGGGGACCCGGUCGGGGGAGGCCUAACCACGUCCGCCCGCAGGGCUACGUCCGGCAGUGCCGCAAGCGCGCAGACAUGUUCAGCGAGGAGCAGCUGCGUACCAUCUUCGGGAACAUCGAGGACAUCUACCGCUGCCAGAAGGCCUUCGUGAAGGCCCUGGAGCAGAGGUUCAACCGCGAGCGCCCACACC